RNAcentral lists this ribosomal RNA (856 nucleotides) under Flavobacterium sp. Its description in RNAcentral is "bacterial SSU rRNA". It matches the Rfam family "Bacterial small subunit ribosomal RNA", at positions 65 to 932 of the family's 1533-position model. The record is from RNAcentral. Lineage: Bacteria; Pseudomonadati; Bacteroidota; Flavobacteriia; Flavobacteriales; Flavobacteriaceae.
AGGGGUAUAGGUUUUCGGAUCUAGAGACCGGCGCACGGGUGCGUUAACGCGNUAUGCAAUCUACCUUUUACAGAGGGAUAGCCCAGAGAAAUUUGGAUUAAUACCUCAUAGUAUUAUGAAAUGGCAUCAUUUUAUAAUUAAAGUCACAACGGUAAAAGAUGAGCAUGCGUCCCAUUAGCUAGUUGGUAAGGUAACGGCUUACCAAGGCAACGAUGGGUAGGGGUCCUGAGAGGGAGAUCCCCCACACUGGUACUGAGACACGGACCAGACUCCUACGGGAGGCAGCAGUGAGGAAUAUUGGACAAUGGGCGCAAGCCUGAUCCAGCCAUGCCGCGUGCAGGAUGACGGUCCUAUGGAUUGUAAACUGCUUUUGUACGAGAAGAAACACUACUUCGUGAAGUAGCUUGACGGUAUCGUAAGAAUAAGGAUCGGCUAACUCCGUGCCAGCAGCCGCGGUAAUACGGAGGAUCCAAGCGUUAUCCGGAAUCAUUGGGUUUAAAGGGUCCGUAGGCGGUUUAGUAAGUCAGUGGUGAAAGCCCAUCGCUCAACGGUGGAACGGCCAUUGAUACUGCUAGACUUGAAUUAUUAGGAAGUAACUAGAAUAUGUAGUGUAGCGGUGAAAUGCUUAGAGAUUACAUGGAAUACCAAUUGCGAAGGCAGGUUACUACUAAUUGAUUGACGCUGAUGGACGAAAGCGUGGGUAGCGAACAGGAUUAGAUACCCUGGUAGUCCACGCCGUAAACGAUGGAUACUAGCUGUUGGGAGCANUUCAGUGGCUAAGCGAAAGUGAUAGUAUCCNCCUGGGGAGUACGUUCGCAGAAUGAACUCAAGGAUNGACGGGGCCCCNCANCGGGGA